Molecule: ribosomal RNA, 253 nt
Filed under: uncultured bacterium
Lineage: Bacteria
Description: partial 16S ribosomal RNA
Rfam family: Bacterial small subunit ribosomal RNA
Source: RNAcentral
UACGUAGGGGGCAAGCGUUGUCCGGAAUUAUUGGGCGUAAAGGGCGCGUAGGCGGCCGCUCAAGUCGGGGGUGAAAUCUUUCAGCUCAACUGGAAAAUAGCCUCCGAUACUGGGCGGCUGGAGGGAGAUAGGGGUGCGCGGAACUUCCGGUGGAGCGGUGAAAUGCGUAGAUAUCGUAAGGAAGACCAGUGGCGAAGGCGGGUCUCUGGACAGUUCCUGACGCUGAGGCACGAAGGCCAGGGGAGCAAACGGG